RNAcentral lists this ribosomal RNA (465 nucleotides) under uncultured bacterium. RNAcentral's name for it is "partial 16S ribosomal RNA". It matches the Rfam family "Bacterial small subunit ribosomal RNA", at positions 28 to 507 of the family's 1533-position model. The record is from RNAcentral.
GACGAACGCUGGCGGCGUGCUUAACACAUGCAAGUCGAACGGAAAGGCCCUGCUUGCAGGGUACUCGAGUGGCGAACGGGUGAGUAACACGUGGGUGAUCUGCCCUGCACUUCGGGAUAAGCCUGGGAAACUGGGUCUAAUACCGGAUAGGAGCCAUUUUUAGUGUGAUGGUUGGAAAGUUUUUUCGGUGUAGGAUGAGCUCGCGGCCUAUCAGCUUGUUGGUGGGGUAAUGGCCUACCAAGGCGGCGACGGGUAGCCGGCCUGAGAGGGUGGACGGCCACAUUGGGACUGAGAGACGGCCCAGACUCCUACGGGAGGCAGCAGGGGGGAAGAUUGCACAAGGGGCGCAAGCCUGAUGCAGCGACGCCGCGGGGGGGAUGACGGCCUUCGGGUUGUAAACUCCUUUCGCUAGGGACGAAGCUUUUUGUGACGGUACCUAGAUAAGAAGCACCGGCUAACUACGUG